This 235-nucleotide unclassified non-coding RNA is filed under the name Hevea brasiliensis (rubber tree). The record is from RNAcentral. Lineage: Eukaryota; Viridiplantae; Streptophyta; Magnoliopsida; Malpighiales; Euphorbiaceae.
AGAGAGAGGUAGGUAUUAAGACAACUAUUAACUGGAAAUUGAAAACAAAGAGUGGGUGUGAGUGAAGAGCACUAACCAAACAAGUCCAUCUUCGGCCACUUAUCUGGCAAUUUGGCAGUGUCAAAACCAACCAAAUCUUCCCUGUAUCAUCGAUUAAACCUGGUUGGUUUGCCUUUCACCAAAAAUGUGAGUUCCAAUCAGAAAGGAGAAGAGGAAUUGCUGGUGCCUUUUUUUU